This 922-nucleotide long non-coding RNA is filed under the name Homo sapiens (human). RNAcentral's name for it is "non-protein coding lnc-SCRN3-10:1". Lineage: Eukaryota; Metazoa; Chordata; Mammalia; Primates; Hominidae. The record is from RNAcentral.
GGAUCAGCUUUUUACUUGUUAGCUUAAAGGUGCAAUAUUAUCUAGCAGCAACGCUGGUUGCUGCUAGUUCUGGGAGAAGCCCUCAGAACUAACACUUGAAAAAUGAAUAAGACUUUGUCACUAAUCCAACUUCAAAUGGAUCAAAUGAUUCAAAAUUACAAAAAUACUAAUCAUUUUAGGCUCAAUCUUUAGCUGGAAAAUAGAGAUAAUUCACGUGUACUGUUCAACAAGCAAUUAUUCAUAUAGUUUCUCAAGUACUCAAUUCUAACCAAGAACAUGGUGUCCUGUGGUGUCUACAGUAGAAUAAACAGUAAAGCCUUGUACUUCAAUAAUAGAUCCUCCAGGGGAAAAAAUUAUUCUAAGUGGAUUUAUGUGUAGAGAUGGUUUUAAGUGAUGUUCCUAUCUCUUUAGCACUAAAUCAGUGGCAGUAACUAUUGAGGAGGAAGCAAGAAAGAAGCCAAGAUCCACAGUGGCUGCUUCCAAGUUGCAUAUGGACUAGUUGCUUGUGGCAGGGAGAGACAUGGGUUCCGAAAUCCAGUCUGUUCUUUGGAGGGGCCUGACCAUGGCUGUGACUCCACGGUGCUAUUCUAGAUAGAUUAAUUCAGACUUUGCUUGGUUUUGCAUCCUAAGAUUGCGUUAUAGAAAGAGGAGAAUGAAGGCCAGGCACGGUGGUUCACGCCUGUAAUCCCGGCACUUGGGAGGCCAAGGCGGGCGGAUCACAAGGCCAGGAGAUGGAGACCAUCCUGGCUAACACGGUGAAACCCCGUCUUUUUACUAAAAAUACAAAAAAUUAGCCAAGCGUUGUGGCAGGUGCCUGUAGUCCCAGCUACUCAGGAGGCUAAGUCAGGAGAAUGGCGUGAACCUGGGAGUCAGAGGUUGCCGUGAGCCAAGAUCACGCCACUGCACUCCAGCCUGGGUGACA